GCCCAGGUGGCGGAAUUGGUAGACGCGCUACGUUCAGGUCGUAGUUCUCUUCGGGGAGUGAAGGUUCAAGUCCUUUCCUGGGCACCA
RNAcentral lists this transfer RNA (87 nucleotides) under Micavibrio sp. RNAcentral describes it as "tRNA-Leu". It matches the Rfam family "tRNA". Rfam says of the family: Transfer RNA (tRNA) molecules are approximately 80 nucleotides in length. Their secondary structure includes four short double-helical elements and three loops (D, anti-codon, and T loops). The record is from RNAcentral. Lineage: Bacteria; Pseudomonadati; Bdellovibrionota; Bdellovibrionia; Bdellovibrionales; Pseudobdellovibrionaceae.